RNAcentral lists this ribosomal RNA (453 nucleotides) under uncultured Sphingobium sp. RNAcentral describes it as "partial 16S ribosomal RNA". The record is from RNAcentral. Lineage: Bacteria; Pseudomonadati; Pseudomonadota; Alphaproteobacteria; Sphingomonadales; Sphingobiaceae.
CACGGAGUUAGCCGGAGCUUAUUCUCCCGGUACUGUCAUUAUCAUCCCGGGUAAAAGAGCUUUACAACCCUAAGGCCUUCAUCACUCACGCGGCAUUGCUGGAUCAGGCUUUCGCCCAUUGUCCAAUAUUCCCUACUGCUGCCUCCCGUAGGAGUCUGGGCCGUGUCUCAGUCCCAGUGUGGCUGAUCAUCCUCUCAGACCAGCUAAGGAUCGUCGCCUUGGUGAGCCUUUACCUCACCAACUAGCUAAUCCUACGCGGGCUCAUCCUUGGGCGAUAAAUCUUUGGACUUACGUCAUCAUCCGGUAUUAGCUUCCGUUUCCAGAAGUUAUUCCGAACCCAAGGGCAGAUUCCCACGCGUUACGCACCCGUGCGCCACUAGAUCCGAAGAUCUCGUUCGACUUGCAUGUAUUAGGCAUGCCGCCAGCGUUCGUUCUGAGCCAGGAUCAAACUCU